This 1555-nucleotide ribosomal RNA is filed under the name Staphylococcus aureus. RNAcentral describes it as "partial 23S ribosomal RNA". It matches the Rfam family "Bacterial large subunit ribosomal RNA", at positions 1332 to 2884 of the family's 2925-position model. The record is from RNAcentral. Lineage: Bacteria; Bacillati; Bacillota; Bacilli; Caryophanales; Staphylococcaceae.
GUCCACCGAUUGACUAAGGUUUCCAGAGGAAGGCUCGUCCGCUCUGGGUUAGUCGGGUCCUAAGCUGAGGCCGACAGGCGUAGGCGAUGGAUAACAGGUUGAUAUUCCUGUACCACCUAUAAUCGUUUUAAUCGAUGGGGGGACGCAGUAGGAUAGGCGAAGCGUGCGAUUGGAUUGCACGUCUAAGAAGUAAGGCUGAGUAUUAGGCAAAUCCGGUACUCGUUAAGGCUGAGCUGUGAUGGGGAGAAGACAUUGAGUCUUCGAGUCGUUGAUUUCACACUGCCGAGAAAAACCUCUAGAUAGAAAAUAGGUGCCCGUACCGCAAACCGACACAGGUAGUCAAGAUGAGAAUUCUAAGGUGAGCGAGCGAACUCUCGUUAAGGAACUCGGCAAAAUGACCCCGUAACUUCGGGAGAAGGGGUGCUCUUUAGGGUUGACGCCCAGAAGAGCCGCAGUGAAUAGGCCCAAGCGACUGUUUAUCAAAAACACAGGUCUCUGCUAAACCGUAAGGUGAUGUAUAGGGGCUGACGCCUGCCCGGUGCUGGAAGGUUAAGAGGAGUGGUUAGCUUCUGCGAAGCUACGAAUCGAAGCCCCAGUAAACGGCGGCCGUAACUAUAACGGUCCUAAGGUAGCGAAAUUCCUUGUCGGGUAAGUUCCGACCCGCACGAAAGGCGUAACGAUUUGGGCACUGUCUCAACGAGAGACUCGGUGAAAUCAUAGUACCUGUGAAGAUGCAGGUUACCCGCGACAGGACGGAAAGACCCCGUGGAGCUUUACUGUAGCCUGAUAUUGAAAUUCGGCACAGCUUGUACAGGAUAGGUAGGAGCCUUUGAAACGUGAGCGCUAGCUUACGUGGAGGCGCUGGUGGGAUACUACCCUAGCUGUGUUGGCUUUCUAACCCGCACCACUUAUCGUGGUGGGAGACAGUGUCAGGCGGGCAGUUUGACUGGGGCGGUCGCCUCCUAAAAGGUAACGGAGGCGCUCAAAGGUUCCCUCAGAAUGGUUGGAAAUCAUUCAUAGAGUGUAAAGGCAUAAGGGAGCUUGACUGCGAGACCUACAAGUCGAGCAGGGUCGAAAGACGGACUUAGUGAUCCGGUGGUUCCGCAUGGAAGGGCCAUCGCUCAACGGAUAAAAGCUACCCCGGGGAUAACAGGCUUAUCUCCCCCAAGAGUUCACAUCGACGGGGAGGUUUGGCACCUCGAUGUCGGCUCAUCGCAUCCUGGGGCUGUAGUCGGUCCCAAGGGUUGGGCUGUUCGCCCAUUAAAGCGGUACGCGAGCUGGGUUCAGAACGUCGUGAGACAGUUCGGUCCCUAUCCGUCGUGGGCGUAGGAAAUUUGAGAGGAGCUGUCCUUAGUACGAGAGGACCGGGAUGGACAUACCUCUGGUGUACCAGUUGUCGUGCCAACGGCAUAGCUGGGUAGCUAUGUGUGGACGGGAUAAGUGCUGAAAGCAUCUAAGCAUGAAGCCCCCCUCAAGAUGAGAUUUCCCAACUUCGGUUAUAAGAUCCCUCAAAGAUGAUGAGGUUAAUAGGUUCGAGGUGGAAGCAUGGUGACAU